AAUUAUGGUGGGCUGGUUGAGGGCGCUUCGGCGCGCCGUAUCCUUAUGAGCGGUAGUUCCAACCUUGAUCAGUCCAUCACCAGU
Molecule: non-coding RNA, 84 nt
Filed under: Vibrio diazotrophicus
Lineage: Bacteria; Pseudomonadati; Pseudomonadota; Gammaproteobacteria; Vibrionales; Vibrionaceae
Source: RNAcentral